GACGAACGCUGGCGGCGUGCCUAAUACAUGCAAGUCGAGCGGAACUGGGGGAGCUUGCUCCUUCCAGUUUAGCGGCGGACGGGUGAGUAACACGUGGGCAACCUGCCCUGCAGAUCGGGAUAACUCCGGGAAACCGGUGCUAAUACCGAAUAGUUUGGCGCCUCUCCUGAGGCGCUACGGAAAGACGGUUUCGGCUGUCACUGCAGGAUGGGCCCGCGGCGCAUUAGCUAGUUGGUGGGGUAACGGCCCACCAAGGCGACGAUGCGUAGCCGACCUGAGAGGGUGACCGGCCACACUGGGACUGAGACACGGCCCAGACUCCUACGGGAGGCAGCAGUAGGGAAUCUUCCGCAAUGGACGCAAGUCUGACGGAGCAACGCCGCGUGAGUGACGAAGGUUUUCGGAUCGUAAAACUCUGUUGUGAGGGAAGAACACGUACCAACUAACUAUUGGUACCUUGACGGUACCUGCAGAAAAAGCGCCGGCUAACUACGUGCCAGCAGCCGCGGUAA
Molecule: ribosomal RNA, 512 nt
Filed under: uncultured bacterium
Lineage: Bacteria
Description: partial 16S ribosomal RNA
Rfam family: Bacterial small subunit ribosomal RNA
Source: RNAcentral